This 345-nucleotide unclassified non-coding RNA is filed under the name soil metagenome. RNAcentral's name for it is "partial contains 5.8S ribosomal RNA, internal transcribed spacer 2, and large subunit ribosomal RNA". The stretch from base 1 to 120 matches the Rfam family "5.8S ribosomal RNA", at positions 35 to 154 of the family's 154-position model. The record is from RNAcentral.
GAUGAAGAACGCAGCGAAAUGCGAUACGUAAUGUGAAUUGCAGAAUUCAGUGAAUCAUCGAGUCUUUGAACGCACAUUGCGCCCCCUGGUAUUCCGGGGGGCAUGCCUGUCCGAGCGUCAUUGCUGCCCUCAAGCACGGCUUGUGUGUUGGGCCUCCGUCCUCCUCCCGGGGGACGGGCCCGAAAGGCAGCGGCGGCACCGCGUCCGGUCCUCGAGCGUAUGGGGCUUCGUCACCCGCUCUUGUAGGCCCGGCCGGCGCUUGCCGACACAUCAAUCUUUUUUACAGGUUGACCUCGGAUCAGGUAGGGAUACCCGCUGAACUUAAGCAUAUCAAUAAGCGGAGGA